Molecule: ribosomal RNA, 459 nt
Filed under: uncultured bacterium
Lineage: Bacteria
Description: partial 16S ribosomal RNA
Rfam family: Bacterial small subunit ribosomal RNA
Source: RNAcentral
CCUACGGGAGGCAGCAGUGAGGAAUAUUGGUCAAUGGCCGAGAGGCUGAACCAGCCAAGCCGCGUGAGGGAAGAAUGUCCUAUGGAUUGUAAACCUCUUUUGUCAGGGAGCAAAGUCACCCACGUGUGGGUGUUGGAGAGUACCUGAAGAAACAGCAUCGGCUAACUCCGUGCCAGCAGCCGCGGUAAUACGGAGGAUGCGAGCGUUAUCCGGAUUUAUUGGGUGUAAAGGGUGCGUAGGCGGGUUAUCAAGUCAGCGGUAAAAUCGUGGAGCUCAACUCCAUCCAGCCGUUGAAACUGGUGAGCUUGAGUGGGCGAGAAGUAUGCGGAAUGCGUGGUGUAGCGGUGAAAUGCAUAGAUAUCACGCAGAACUCCGAUUGCGAAGGCAGCAUACCGGCGCCCGACUGACGCUGAGGCACGAAAGCGUGGGUAUCGAACAGGAUUAGAUACCCGAGUAGUC